RNAcentral lists this ribosomal RNA (423 nucleotides) under uncultured soil bacterium. RNAcentral's name for it is "bacterial SSU rRNA". It matches the Rfam family "Bacterial small subunit ribosomal RNA", at positions 35 to 496 of the family's 1533-position model. The record is from RNAcentral.
GCUGGCGGCAGGCCUAACACAUGCAAGUCGAACGCCGUAGCAAUACGGAGUGGCAGACGGGUGAGUACACGUGGGAACAUGCCCUUCGGUUCGGAAUAACUCAGGGAAACUUGAGCUAAUACCGGAUACGCCCAAGGUUUUGCCUUGGAGAAAGAUUUAUCGCCGAAGGAUUGGCCCGCGUCUGAUUAGCUAGUUGGUGGGGUAAUGGCUCACCAAGGCGACGAUCAGUAGCUGGUCUGAGAGGAUGAUCAGCCACAUUGGGACUGAGACACGGCCCAAACUCCUACGGGAGGCAGCAGUGGGGAAUAUUGGACAAUGGGCGCAAGCCUGAUCCAGCCAUGCCGCGUGAGUGAUGAAGGCCUUAGGGUUGUAAAGCUCUUUUACCCGGGAAGAUAAUGACGGUACCGGGAGAAUAAGCCCCGG